RNAcentral lists this ribosomal RNA (433 nucleotides) under Hubbardiidae sp. WAMT120204. RNAcentral describes it as "partial small subunit ribosomal RNA". Lineage: Eukaryota; Metazoa; Arthropoda; Arachnida; Schizomida; Hubbardiidae. The record is from RNAcentral.
UAAGUUAUAAUGAAGAAUGAUUAGUUUUUACAUGAUGAUCAAUUGUAAAUAUUAAGAUUAAUGACGGUAUUUUUUAUAUUCUGAGGAACUUGCUUUUAUAAGUUGAUAGUGCACAAAUGAUCUUUCUUAUGUUUUAUAAGAAUAAUAUUAUAUUUAAUUUAAUUUUUUAUGAAGUUCUUAUGAAAUUUAUAUAUUGCUGUUUAAUUUAUUUUUUAAUAGAGAGAUAAUUAAUAGGUGAAAAAUAAAAAUAAAAAUAUUAUGUAAUUCAAGUCAAAAUGUAGUUUAUACAUAAGGAAAAAGUAGGUUACUUUUAUAUAGAAUUAAAAUAAAUUGAAAUGAAACUAAUAAGUUUUAUGAAAUAUUUAAAAUUUUGAUGUGGGAUUAGGUUGUAAAAAUUUAUUUAAUAAGAAAUUUUGAUAGAUUUAAAAAUAUG